Brassica napus (rape) is the source of this 1523-nucleotide long non-coding RNA. RefSeq lists it as uncharacterized. NCBI's taxonomy places the organism in Eukaryota, Viridiplantae, Streptophyta, Magnoliopsida, Brassicales, Brassicaceae. The record is from RefSeq and is a predicted model, not a curated record. The transcript is spliced from 6 exons.
UUUAAUUUUCAUGUGUCCAUUUCGAACUUUCUUCUCCGCGACAGACGGUGGGUAGAAUUAGGGUUAGCUGUUGUUUUCUGUCUCUGCGAUGAACGAGCUCAAGCAACAAUGAAGAUCAAAUCGAGCAUCCGAAUCGUCCUCGAGAACCAAGCAGCUGUCGUUUCGUAUUUGGUACUUAACCCCCAGACGUUAUGAGUUUUCUUCAUUCAUUGGCUUUAAGAGAUAUCUUAACUCCACGGACGAGAAUCAAGCACGACGUCUCAUACAAUGAUAUCAUCCAACUCCAAAGCGGUUUCUUUACCUAUAAAAAGGGACCAUCUCCAGGCUGGUUCACCGGUGCAGCCAGAACUUCAGGCUUUCAGACUCACUUCUGACAAUCUGGUUCAGUGAUUCAAACAGUCUAGAUGUGCUAAUCUCCCGUCCCUGAAGAACGUCAGGUUCGGCGAUCAUGAUUUGCUUCUUAGCCUAGCCAAUACCAAGCACGCAUCUUUCAGAUAUGGCUUCUUAAAGACUGUUUAUGACAGACUUAUCAUUGAAACAGAUAAUAAAUUAAGAUGUUCAUAAUCUCUCGGACGUUAUUAGUGAGCUCACUGCUGUGAGAAGUACAGUGAGUGACAUUCCUCAAGGAAAAGAUAGAGUUAUGACAACUAUCAAGAUUUCAUAAAUUUUCUUACUUUUCUUUUGAAUAUGUCAUUGAUUUUUUUAUGUUCUGUUUUUCUUUUCACACUCAUAUCACUGUCACUUUGAGUCUGUUUGACUCACAAGCUGUUAUUUUCACAAGAAGCUUGAAGGAUUCUGGGGAGAUUCAAGGGUUGUUGUUGCAAAUAGCAUAAAACCAAAGAUGGUAGAAGGACGUUGUUUUUAAAUGCCACAUCGGGAACACAUGUAUCUUUCGACAACGAAACUGAUGCAGAGAAUUCUACUUUUUACGAGCUGGUUUCCAAAGACCUAGGAACACCCAUGUUCCUUCAUUUCUUAGAGGCUAUGCAAAGGUUGAGCCUCUUACUAUAGCUGAGCUCAAUGAGUUCGUCAUCAUUUCGGAGCCUCAGAACAUUGAAUGGUGACUGAUAUCAAAAUGGAGAAAGACUGGUGUUACGUCUCUUGCUCUAGGUGCAUGAAGAAGCUCCACCGAACGGUCUCAUCCUUUACUUGCGUGAACUGAAAUAUCUUGGUUUGCUCAGAUACCAUGUGGAGAUGAGCAUUGCUGAUGACACUGUUGAAGGGUGUCUUUGUUGGAUUCGAUUAGUGGUGAGAUGACAAAACUACAUAACGUGAGGGCCUAUGAGGCUGGUAAUUUAAUUGUAGGAACAUCUCUAAGUGGUAUCGCCAUCAAGAAACCUCAGGCAUCAAAGUCUUUAAAGGUGAUGAAGAAGCUAAGGGUUGUGAUGCAGAUGGAGUACUUGCUAUUUCAAAAAUGAUUAUGUAUUAACGGUGGUUUUUAUUUUAAAAUAUGUUCUCUUAUGUAGUUUGGUAUGGUUUAUUAAAAGUCUAAAACUAUAAUAAAAAUGCUUUUUUUGGAGAUU